GAUGAACGCUGGGGGCGUGCCUAAUACAUGCAAGUCGAGCGAACAGACGAGGAGCUUGCUCCUCUGACGUUAGCGGCGGACGGGUGAGUAACACGUGGAUAACCUACCUAUAAGACUGGGAUAACUUCGGGAAACCGGAGCUAAUACCGGAUAAUAUAUUGAACCGCAUGGUUCAAUAGUGAAAGACGGUUUUGCUGUCACUUAUAGAUGGAUCCGCGCCGCAUUAGCUAGUUGGUAAGGUAACGGCUUACCAAGGCAACGAUGCGUAGCCGACCUGAGAGGGUGAUCGGCCACACUGGAACUGAGACACGGUCCAGACUCCUACGGGAGGCAGCAGUAGGGAAUCUUCCGCAAUGGGCGAAAGCCUGACGGAGCAACGCCGCGUGAAUGAUGAAGGUCUUCGGAUCGUAAAACUCUGUUAUUAGGGAAGAACAAAUGUGUAAGUAACUAUGCACGUCUUGACGGUACCUAAUCAGAAAGCCACGGCUAACUACGUG
RNAcentral lists this ribosomal RNA (497 nucleotides) under uncultured bacterium. RNAcentral's name for it is "partial 16S ribosomal RNA". It matches the Rfam family "Bacterial small subunit ribosomal RNA", at positions 28 to 507 of the family's 1533-position model. The record is from RNAcentral.